This 367-nucleotide long non-coding RNA is filed under the name Nicotiana benthamiana. RNAcentral's name for it is "long non-coding RNA (NBEN_LNC005088)". Lineage: Eukaryota; Viridiplantae; Streptophyta; Magnoliopsida; Solanales; Solanaceae. The record is from RNAcentral.
ACGCACCGAUAUAUCCUGGUUCACUACAACCCGUGGCUAGUCCAGUCCGCGAGAGACUCUCUCGAGAUUUCCACUAUCUUCGUCAAGCUUACGGGUGCUUAACAAACCGUUACAGUUGCUCAAGGAUACCACACCUUAAGUCUUCACUAGCUUGAGGAUACCUCACCCCAAGACUUCAACCACAAAGACUUUGGGUACUUAGCAAACCCGACAAAUGAGAAGAUGUGUUCUUCUCAAACAACUCUCUUUUACAACAAAUACCCUCUCAAUAUAGUGGAUAAAGAGAAACAAAAUAAGCUCUAUGAACAACACAAAGUUGUCUAUCAAAUGGCUCAACAAAAGCUCUAAAAUGAUGCUUGAAAAUGAN